Molecule: non-coding RNA, 176 nt
Filed under: Gammaproteobacteria bacterium
Lineage: Bacteria; Pseudomonadati; Pseudomonadota; Gammaproteobacteria
Also listed under: 2 other names
Description: 6S RNA
Rfam family: 6S / SsrS RNA
About the family: E. coli 6S RNA was the first non coding RNA to be sequenced, but its function was unknown until recently.
Source: RNAcentral
AUUACCCUGGGUUGCUCGCCAGUCGGUAAUGUCCCUGAGCCGAUAAUCUUAUUUCAGGGAAGCACAGAGCACACGGUGUGCAUGUCCGUUCAAGGAAAGCCUAAUGUGUGUUUGCGUUUCCCGCCUUGAACCAUUGGGUUCAAGGGCUAAACCGACAGCGGCAACUUGGGUCCUUU